GACGAACGCUGGCGGCGUGCUUAACACAUGCAAGUCGAACGGAAAGGACCUGCUUUGGUGGGGUGCUCGAGUGGCGAACGGGUGAGUAACACGUGAGUAACCUGCCCUUGACUGUGGGAUAACUUCAGGAAACUGGGGCUAAUACCGGAUAGGAGCUCCUGCUGCCUGGGGGGGGUGGGAAAGUUUCGGCGGUGCGGGGUGGGCUCGCGGCUUGUCAGCUUGUUGGUGGGGUAGUGUCUUACCAAGGCUUUGACGGGUAGCCGGCCUGGGGGGGUGACCGGCCACAUUGGGACUGAGCUGCGGCCCAGACUCCUCCGGGAGGCAGCAGUGGGGAAUAUUGCACAAUGGGCGGAAGCCUGAUGCAGCAACGCCGCGUGCGGGAUGACGGCCUUCGGGUUGUAAACCGCUUUCGCCUGUGACGAAGCGUGAGUGACGGUAAUGGGUAAAGAAGCACCGGCUAACUACGUG
RNAcentral lists this ribosomal RNA (468 nucleotides) under uncultured bacterium. RNAcentral's name for it is "partial 16S ribosomal RNA". It matches the Rfam family "Bacterial small subunit ribosomal RNA", at positions 28 to 507 of the family's 1533-position model. The record is from RNAcentral.